RNAcentral lists this ribosomal RNA (450 nucleotides) under uncultured Streptococcus sp. RNAcentral's name for it is "bacterial SSU rRNA". It matches the Rfam family "Bacterial small subunit ribosomal RNA", at positions 930 to 1382 of the family's 1533-position model. The record is from RNAcentral. Lineage: Bacteria; Bacillati; Bacillota; Bacilli; Lactobacillales; Streptococcaceae.
CGGUGGAGCAUGUGGUUUAAUUCGAAGCAACGCGAAGACCUUACCAGGUCUUGACAUCCCGAUGCUAUUUCUAGAGAUAGAAAGUUACUUCGGUACAUCGGUGACAGGUGGUGCAUGGUUGUCGUCAGCUCGUGUCGUGAGAUGUUGGGUUAAGUCCCGCAACGAGCGCAACCCCUAUUGUUAGUUGCCAUCAUUCAGUUGGGCACUCUAGCGAGACUGCCGGUAAUAAACCGGAGGAAGGUGGGGAUGACGUCAAAUCAUCAUGCCCCUUAUGACCUGGGCUACACACGUGCUACAAUGGUUGGUACAACGAGUUGCGAGUCGGUGACGGCGAGCUAAUCUCUUAAAGCCAAUCUCAGUUCGGAUUGUAGGCUGCAACUCGCCUACAUGAAGUCGGAAUCGCUAGUAAUCGCGGAUCAGCACGCCGCGGUGAAUACGUUCCCGGGCCUU